This is an RNA transcript of Mustela lutreola (European mink), 1430 nucleotides long. It is a transcript of the gene named zinc finger CCHC-type containing 9, with no coding region annotated. The transcript is spliced from 8 exons. Lineage: Eukaryota; Metazoa; Chordata; Mammalia; Carnivora; Mustelidae. The record is from RefSeq and is a predicted model, not a curated record.
GGACGUAUUUCCGGUCCCGAGUGCCGACUCAGUCGCCGGGGGCGGGCUUCUCUGGCUGGCUAACUCAGCUGCCCUGGAGGAUUCGUGCGCGCUUGAUAAAGUACCGCUGAUGAAAUCAUGACCAGGUGGGCCCGAGUAACUACCACUCAUAACAAGAGACCUUUGGCUGCAACAUCAUGGGAGGACAUGAAGAAGGGGUCCUUCCAGGGAGAAAGCCAAAAUCUACCAAAGAAUAAACAACUUGAAGCCAAAAGGCUCUCUGUUAAAAAUGAUGCUCCCCAAGCAAAACACAAAAAGAACAAAAAGAAAAAGGAGUACUUAAAUGAAGAUGUAAAUGGAUUCAUGGAAUACCUAAGACAAAACUCACAGAUAGUUCAUAAUGGAGAGAUGAUAGCAACAGACAGUGAGGAGGUAAGGGAAGAAAUUGCAGUAGCUUUAAAGAAGGAUAGUCGACGGGAAGGAAGAAGACUAAAAAGACAAGCAGCAAAGAAGAAUGCAAUGGUAUGUUUCCAUUGUAGAAAACCUGGCCACGGGAUUGCAGAUUGCCCAGCUGCCCUUGAGAAUCAAGAUAUGGGAACUGGAAUAUGUUACCGGUGUGGGUCCACAGAGCAUGAAAUAACCAAGUGCAAAGCCAAAGUAGACCCAGCUCUUGGUGAAUUUCCUUUUGCAAAAUGCUUUGUUUGUGGGGAAAUGGGGCAUCUAUCCAGAUCUUGUCCUGAUAAUCCCAAAGGACUCUAUGCUGAUGGUGGUUGCUGUAGACUCUGUGGCUCUGUGGACCAUUUUAAGAAAGAUUGCCCUGAGAGUCAGAAUUCAGGUACAAACCCUUUGGAAAUACCAUCUUUUGUGAAGUCUAGGCAUGCAUGGAAACAGAAGUGGAUCCAAAGAGGGUAAAGGGAGAUCUUGAAAGGACUCAGAAGUGAAGACAAAGACAUAAUAAAAGCCAACAACCCAGAACAAAACACUGGCAAGAGGUCAGAGUUGAAAAGAAUCAGUGAAGUCGUACCUGAGUUUACUUCAAUUUUAAGAGUUUGUAGAAAAGGUGAGAGUUGGCACCAAGGAGAAGGUAGAGUUCCACUGGGUGCGGGGCAGCAGAGAGAAUCGGAUGUAAAGCGGCGGGAGAAGACAGAAGUACAACCCAGAAGAUGAUACAUUGCCCACAGCAGCCCGCGGCUGAGCAGAGGUGAGGUCUCCGGGGCCUCUGUCAUUCCAACAAAUGAUAAGAGUGACUUGGGGAAGAAAAAGAAGAAGAAAGAAAAGAAAAAGUCCAUUUUACUUUGUGAUGUAGAAAAGAAAAAAAUAUAUAUCCAAAGAGGAAUAGCCUUGAAAGGCGUUACUGGUGUGAGGGGAUUCUGGGUGGAGCUCUGUACCCACCACUUCCCCCGCCCAGGAAGGGAUCUGAUUACUGAAACUCACAUGCUAAUAACUGACCU